Molecule: small nucleolar RNA, 120 nt
Filed under: Echinops telfairi (small Madagascar hedgehog)
Lineage: Eukaryota; Metazoa; Chordata; Mammalia; Afrosoricida; Tenrecidae
Description: Small nucleolar RNA SNORA61 (ENSETEG00000026751.1)
Source: RNAcentral
ACCCUCCAGAUUCCUUUCUCCUGAGACCUAAACCCUGGUCUGAGUAGUUAAAAAGGGAAGGAAAGGAAAAGCAAACAGACUUAAAGUAUUUGGUGACACACAAGUUAGUUUCGAGAGAGA